RNAcentral lists this ribosomal RNA (400 nucleotides) under uncultured bacterium. RNAcentral's name for it is "partial 16S ribosomal RNA". It matches the Rfam family "Bacterial small subunit ribosomal RNA", at positions 360 to 776 of the family's 1533-position model. The record is from RNAcentral.
AAUAUUGCAAAAUGGGCACAAGCCUGAUGCAGCAACGCCGCGUGCGCGACGAAGGCCUUCGAGUCGUACCGCGCUUUUCGGGGCGAUGAGCACGGACAGUAUCCCCGGAAGAAGGAUCGGCUAACUACGUGCCAGCAGCCGCGGUAAAACGUAGGAUCCGAGCGUUAUCCGAAUUCACUGGGCGUAAAGCGCAUGCAGGCGGCCGCACAAGUUGGAUGUGAAAUCUCCCGGCUCAACUGGGAGGGGACGUUCAAAACUGUGCGGCUCGAGGGCGGUAGAGGAAGGUAGAAUUCCCGGUGUAGUGGUGAAAUGCGUAGAUAUCGGGAGGAAUACCCGUGGCGAAGGCGACCUUCUGGACCGUUUCUGACGCUCAGAUGCGAAAGCUAGGGGAGCAAACAGG